This 253-nucleotide ribosomal RNA is filed under the name uncultured bacterium. Its description in RNAcentral is "partial 16S ribosomal RNA". It matches the Rfam family "Bacterial small subunit ribosomal RNA", at positions 524 to 776 of the family's 1533-position model. The record is from RNAcentral.
UACAGAGGGUGCGAGCGUUAAUCGGAAUUACUGGGCGUAAAGCGUGCGUAGACGGUUUCGUAAGUCGGGUGUGAAAGCCCCGGGCUCAACCUGGGAAUUGCAUUCGAGACUGCGUAGCUAGGGUGCGGUAGAGGAAAGCAGAAUUCCCGGUGUAGCGGUGAAAUGCGUAGAUAUCGGGAGGAAUACCAGUGGCGAAGGCGGCUUUCUGGGCCUGUUCUGACGCUGAGGAGCGAAAGCGUGGGGAGCAAACCGG